This 494-nucleotide ribosomal RNA is filed under the name uncultured bacterium. RNAcentral describes it as "partial 16S ribosomal RNA". It matches the Rfam family "Bacterial small subunit ribosomal RNA", at positions 28 to 507 of the family's 1533-position model. The record is from RNAcentral.
GACGAACGCUGGCGGCGUGCUUAACACAUGCCAGUCGAACGGAAGGGCCUGCUUUCCCUUGUGGAUUGCGGGUACUCGAGUGGCGAACGGGUGAGUAACACGUGAGUGAUCUGCCCCCAACUUGGGUAUAAGCCUGGGAAACUGGGUCUAAUUCCCGAUAGGACUGCAGGGUGGUGCCUGUGGUGGAAAACGAUUUUCUAGUGGUUGGGGAUGAGCUCGCGGCCUAUCAGCUUGUUGGUGGGGUAAUGGCCUACCAAGGCGGCGACGGGUAGCCGGCCUGAGAGGGUGGACGGCCACAUUGGGACUGAGAUACGGCCCAGACUCCUACGGGAGGCAGCAGUGGGGAAUAUUGCACAAUGGGCGGAAGCCUGAUGCAGCGACGCCGCGUGGGGGAUGACGGCCUUCGGGUUGUAAACUCCUUUCGACCGCGAGGAAGCCACCUGGUUGGAAGGGUGGUGACGGUAGUGGUAGAAGAAGCACCGGCUAACUACGUG